GACGAACGCUGGCGGCGUGCCUAAUACAUGCAAGUCGAACGCAUUUUCUUUCACCGUAGCUUGCUACACCGAAAGAAAAUGAGUGGCGAACGGGUGAGUAACACGUGGGUAACCUGCCCAUCAGCGGGGGAUAACACUUGGAAACAGGUGCUAAUACCGCAUAAUUCCAUUUACCGCAUGGUAGAUGGAUGAAAGGCGCUUUUGCGUCACUGAUGGAUGGACCCGCGGUGCAUUAGCUAGUUGGUGGGGUAACGGCCUACCAAGGCUGCGAUGCAUAGCCGACCUGAGAGGGUGAUCGGCCACACUGGGACUGAGACACGGCCCAGACUCCUACGGGAGGCAGCAGUAGGGAAUCUUCGGCAAUGGACGCAAGUCUGACCGAGCAACGCCGCGUGAGUGAAGAAGGUUUUCGGAUCGUAAAACUCUGUUGUUAGAGAAGAACAAGGAUGAGAGUGGAAAGUUCAUCCCUUGACGGUAGCUAACCAGAAAGCCACGGCUAACUACGUG
This 507-nucleotide ribosomal RNA is filed under the name uncultured bacterium. RNAcentral's name for it is "partial 16S ribosomal RNA". It matches the Rfam family "Bacterial small subunit ribosomal RNA", at positions 28 to 507 of the family's 1533-position model. The record is from RNAcentral.